RNAcentral lists this ribosomal RNA (516 nucleotides) under Himasthla quissetensis. Its description in RNAcentral is "SSU rRNA". It matches the Rfam family "Eukaryotic small subunit ribosomal RNA", at positions 622 to 1053 of the family's 1831-position model. The record is from RNAcentral. Lineage: Eukaryota; Metazoa; Platyhelminthes; Trematoda; Plagiorchiida; Himasthlidae.
AAAAGCUCGUAGUUGGAUCUGGGUUGCAUGGCUACAUGCCGUCGCUUGUGGGUCUGGCCUGGGCAACCGGGUUGGACUUGCGAGUCGGUCUAGUGGUUGUGCUUCCUUUCUGCUGUGUCUGUUUACAGGUGUCAGCGUGACUGGUGGGCUUGCUUGCCGGUCUGUUGGCAUGCUUCUUGAUGCCUUUCAACGGGUGUCGGAGGCGGACAGCACGUUUACUUUGAACAAAUUUGAGUGCUCAAAGCAGGCCUUUGUGCCUGAAAAUUCUUGCAUGGAAUAAUGGAAUAGGACUUCGGUUCUAUUUUGUUGGUUUUCGGAUCCGAAGUAAUGGUUAAGAGGGACAGACGGGGGCAUUUGUAUGGCGGUGUUAGAGGUGAAAUUCUUGGAUCGCCGCCAGACAAACUACAGCGAAAGCAUUUGCCAAGGAUGUUUUCAUUGAUCUUGAGCGAAAGUCAGAGGUUCGAAGACGAUCAGAUACCGUCCUAGUUCUGACCAUAAACGAUGCCAACUGACGAU